UAUGUUAUUUAACUUUUAAAAUAUUCUAAUUGAUCGUCGUUAUCAGUAAUUAUUUUCGUCCGCCAAUGUAUCGCGUGAUUUUUAUAUUCAAUUAUAUACGUGCUUGUCACAGUGGAAGGAUCGCGAUUGCAGAAGGAUACUUUCCAAUAUACUCUUAGGAGUUUCGCGAAGGAUAAAUAAUUUUGAGUUCCUUUCCCGAAGGCAGGAACGAUUCAGUGCUCCUUUUUUUUCUCGAUACGUUAUAGUUGGUAUUUAAACUUUUUCCUUCUAGUUCAUGACUACAGGUCCCCGUGAUGUUUGCGAAUCGUUGCGAGAUCAGCAAACGACGCGACAACGACGUGUCGCUGUUGGCGAAGAAAAGAAAAAAGAAAAAGAGAAAACGAGGCGGAGAAUGAAAAAGAAGAAAAAGUUACAAGAGAAUGGUAGAAAAUCGACGAGAAAUCGUAAGAGAAAAUUCUAAGAAAAAAAAAAAAGGAAUCCAAGCGAGGAAGCUAGGUAGCCGAAACGUAUUGGGCAUUAGGAGAGUGUGAGAAGAAGAGGGGUUGAAAAAGAAACCAUCCAAAAUAAAAAGAGGGGUAGGAAAAAUCGAAGAUGUCGGACAAGUACCCAAGGCUGGCAAGAAGCAGACGACUGAUCGUUCCAGAAGGUUUGGCGUCUGUCGACGCAGCGUUACAAUCGACUGGCCCAAUUUUUGGGCCCAUCGAUCGGUCUUGAAUAAUUGAUGCCUUUUUUUUCUUAUCUCGAUACUGCAAAAGUUUUGCAUGAAUGAGGCGCGAUAAGGUGCCUAUAUAGGUAUAGUCAGUAUGUCGGCGAAGGGAAGGGUGGAUUGAUACGUCAGCAAUUUUCCUAUUAUUGUCGUGGAUCAUGGCUAUGGUAUACCCUCCUGCCUCCCCCCCGGUCCUAAAUCGACCAGGAAGGGAUUGUCGGAUUAGAGGCUUUCGCAAAAAAAAAGGAAAACGACAAGGCGCGCCUUUUGAAGAUGGAAUAACUUGAUUGAUUAGGGGAAAAAGUCACGAAAGCGUCGGGGCUCUUCUGGGGUCUGGUGUAUUACCGAUAUCAUCGAGGCAUAAUGUACGAAAAAUAUAUUUUGCCGAUGGAACAAGGUCAUUUUUUUGUGUCUUACGGAAAGACUUCAUUUUUUGAUAAUCCUGAUAUCACGUGAAAGGAAAAACAUGUAUAGGACUGGAGAGUUACGAAUCCGUAACUUUCUACGGCCAAGAAGUCUUCUUGGCGGAAGUGUCGCCGUGGUACGGAAAAGUAAGAAAGCGAAUGUUGUCAGAUACGGUUACACUGAUGCUCAGGGAACUACCUAACCUCCUUAGCCAGCGAUCCACCUGUCCAGAAGUGGAUCUUCGAGGACCUAUUGAGCUCGACAGCUAAACGGAAGGAACUUACUGGAAGGAUGCUUUUGCGUCUGCGCCCAGUGUCAAGGAUGCUUCCAAUUAUGGCCACUUGAUUCUAUUGUUAUCUUAUCAGACGUUAUUGUUCUAAGAACUUUAAGAUCGUGUACGA
Long non-coding RNA from Cephus cinctus (wheat stem sawfly), 1512 nucleotides. RefSeq lists it as uncharacterized. The transcript has 3 exons. NCBI's taxonomy places the organism in Eukaryota, Metazoa, Arthropoda, Insecta, Hymenoptera, Cephidae. The record is from RefSeq and is a predicted model, not a curated record.